Molecule: long non-coding RNA, 1132 nt
Filed under: Pogona vitticeps (central bearded dragon)
Lineage: Eukaryota; Metazoa; Chordata; Lepidosauria; Squamata; Agamidae
Description: lncRNA (ENSPVIG00000009607.1)
Source: RNAcentral
GUUGUUGCUGUUGUUUAAAAACACCCACCAAAUGCUCUAAAAUCUUGAUGUAUACACGGGUGUGGAAUCGCUCCCAGAAGGCGUCAAGUUUUGAUGGACAGCUGUCUUCAUGCUGAAUGACACUUGUGGACCCAGCAGAGUGUGUGAGGCGUUUUGAGGGCAGUUGACCUGGCCUCCGCCUGGCAAUCGUGACAAGAAAAGGCCAUCACCCCCCUCUUUAAUCCACCUUCCCUUCACAACGGAGAGGAGUCAGUGAACCUUGUCCUCCUGACCCAAAGAAAGCCAAAAGGAACAAGGCCGGCCUGGGGGACGAGAGUGAGGGCUCUCCAUGGUUGGCCAGCGUAGGGAGCGCUCCCGCUGCUCCAGGCCACCCCCGGGGACUCUUGUCUCUCGCAUCGGGAGCUUGGAAAGAGGGCAAGGGGCCCCAGGACAUUUCAAUCCAAUUGGUACCAUGACAGAAGGCUUUGUUGUGGUCCUGUCACUCCGGCCAAGGUGUCAUGGCCUCCGUUGCCAGGACAACCUGAGGAGGCUGAAUGGACGGGGGCGGAAGGUGUAGGGUAGCCCCCUAGGAAAGAACAGUUGCCAAGUGGGACCUGCCACAAAACGUGGCACUGUGGACUCCGUAGGGUGGAGGCGUGAAAAGGAGGACAGGGAUCCCACUUCUCUAAUAACUAUGUGGAAGGAGAGACGUCCACAGGGGUAGCUUCCAUGCAAGUUACGUCAGCAGGCAUUCCCCCUUCCACCCAACGGCUGAAGUCCCUGGUGCUGGAUCAGCUACAUGUCCUGAGGCAGACCGCUUCCAGUUGCGUUGCACUACAAUACCCAUCAUCCUUGACUAGUCAGCUAGAGGUAAUGGGGCCAUCUGAAUGCAGCCUGGUGUUGAAAUUUCUGAAGCUUUACACACACAGCAGAUCAAGUACUUCAGCACCUCAUAUGCCAGGCAAAAGAGACCUAAUGAAUGCCAUGGGACUGAGUUUGAGGACCCGGUUUGCACCUUCUCCCUGGUAGGUCACAGAAUAGAACCAAAAUGUUAUCCCACAGUUUUAAGUGUUGUUGUUGCUAUGUGAUGUCAAGAACCAACUUAUAGGGACCGUCCGAUAUUUAAGGAGCGGCUUUACCAGUUCAACACCCC